GCUCGAGUGGCGAACGGGUGAGUAACACGUGAGUAACCUGCCCUUGACUUUGGGAUAACUUCAGGAAACUGGGGCUAAUACCGGAUAGGAGCUCCUGCUGCAUGGUGGGGGUUGGAAAGUUUCGGCGGUUGGGGAUGGACUCGCGGCUUAUCAGCUUGUUGGUGGGGUAGUGGCUUACCAAGGCUUUGACGGGUAGCCGGCCUGAGAGGGUGACCGGCCACAUUGGGACUGAGAUACGACCCAG
Molecule: ribosomal RNA, 244 nt
Filed under: uncultured Actinomycetales bacterium
Lineage: Bacteria; Bacillati; Actinomycetota; Actinomycetes; Actinomycetales
Description: partial 16S ribosomal RNA
Rfam family: Bacterial small subunit ribosomal RNA
Source: RNAcentral